Molecule: ribosomal RNA, 584 nt
Filed under: Paragoniates sp. QCAZ 2564
Lineage: Eukaryota; Metazoa; Chordata; Actinopteri; Characiformes; Characidae
Description: partial 16S ribosomal RNA
Rfam family: Bacterial large subunit ribosomal RNA
Source: RNAcentral
UUUAAAACAUCGCCUCCUGCCAAAGAUCAAAGUAUAAGAGGUCCUGCCUGCCCAGUGACAUUGUUAAACGGCCGCGGUAUUCUGACCGUGCUAAGGUAGCGCAAUCACUUGUCUUUUAAAUGAAGACCUGUAUGAAUGGUGGAACGAGGGCUUAACUGUCUCCUUUUUUAGGUCAGUGAAAUUGAUUUGCUCGUGCAGAAGCGGGCAUAAACAUACAAGACGAGAAGACCCUUUGGAGCUUAAGAUAUAAGGUCAACUACGUUAAACCCCACAUUAACGGGACUUAAACAAAAUAUUAACUGACCCGUCUCUUCGGUUGGGGCGACCACGGGGGAAAAGAGAGCCCCCAUGUGGAAUGGGAUAUCCUAAAACCACGAGGUACACCUCUAAGUCACAGAACAUCUGACCAAAAGAUCCGGCUCUAGGGCCGAUCAACGAACCAAGUUACCCUAGGGAUAACAGCGCAAUCCUCUCCAAGAGUCCAUAUCGACAAGAGGGUUUACGACCUCGAUGUUGGAUCAGGACAUCCUAAUGGUGUAGCCGCUAUUAAGGGUUCGUUUGUUCAACGAUUAAAGUCCUACGUG